Long non-coding RNA from Hyaena hyaena (striped hyena), 1123 nucleotides. RefSeq lists it as uncharacterized. The record is from RefSeq and is a predicted model, not a curated record. The transcript is spliced from 3 exons. Lineage: Eukaryota; Metazoa; Chordata; Mammalia; Carnivora; Hyaenidae.
UCUUCCCUCUUCCUAGAACAAUCUUCUCCCAGAGCUCAGCAAGGGUUCCAGCACACAGGGCUCUGUGGAUAUGUCGCCUUCAUGGAGAGGCCUUCUCUGAACACUGGCCGUCAUGGAAUAAUAAUAGUAGUGCUUCCUAGGUGUUUUCCGUGUGCCAGGCCCCAUAUUUACUUUCCAGGUCUUCACUCUUUGAAUCCUCACUACAACUCCAUAAGAUGGGACAGGAAGCAGUUGGGAAUGGUGCAGGAGAUCCAAAUGGAAACAGCAGAAACACAUGGAGGUGGCUGAGCACAUGCGGGGACCAGGCGGUCACUUUGCAGAAGGAAGAACGAAUCUGACUGGCUGAAGGAAGUUGACUCAGAUCGUGAAGAGCUUCCGGGACAGUUAAUGAUAUCUUUGGAGUCUUCCAGCACAAUAGAUAUUUUCUAAGGAACUACUGGACAAAGCCACCAAGUGCAUGUUCCAGACCACUGGCACUAGACAUCUCGAAGCCAAGACCCCCGGCUCUAAGGAGUGAGUGACUUAUGAUGGACAUCUGGACCCUGUCCUUUUGCCGACCAGUUCUUGGAUGUCUGAGAGGACACGUGCAUCAGAUCACAAUUGUCGAUAAAUCCCCCAGAUCCCAAGCAAAGACGAGACUCAUGCACCUUUCCUUUCCGAGUCUCCCAGAUGCUCUGUCUGUGUCUGUUUUUCCUGUAUCUUCAAUAAACUGCUUUUACCUCCUGCUGGCUCGAGUUUGGUUUCCAUCCUGAGUGGAGGAGCCAAGGACCCUCUUGGCUACUCCUGCAGGACCCUCCUUAGGUCUUCGGACCCUGCCUGCCUGCAUCAAAGCUAAGAAGUUGGGAUCUCGUUCAGUAAGUAGUCUGAAGCCGUUGAAAGUUUUUAAAGUUGCUUGAAUGAUCCAAAUUUCUUACUGAAGUUUACAAGACUCGAGGAUGUGGCAUCCCUCACGCUCUUGUGCCUGAGUGUAAAAUAUUCUUCACAAUCCCUGUACUCCUGGCUAAAUCCUAGUCCUUCAGUUCUUAAUUUGAACAUAGAUUUCUAAGAAGCCUUGCUGACACCAUCCCAUUUCUCCCAAGCCUGGGCAGGUGCCCCUUUCCGGGUUCCCACACCCCGCACUGUG